GAGGUGUGCUCAGAGCAGGGGGCCUGAAGAAUGGUUCCUCUGUUUAUAACACACCCAACAGGAAUCUGGAGUCAUUGAGAUGAGAGGCGUGAAGCUUGUGGCCUCCCUACAAACAAAUGCUCUACAUGU
This is a small nucleolar RNA of Callithrix jacchus (white-tufted-ear marmoset), 129 nucleotides long. NCBI's taxonomy places the organism in Eukaryota, Metazoa, Chordata, Mammalia, Primates, Cebidae. The record is from Ensembl.